GAUCAUUAAUGAGAUCAUGCCCUUCGGGGUAGACCUCCCACCCCCUGUUUACCGUACCCGUUGCUUUGGCGGUCCCGUCGCGAGACGGGCCGCCAGAGGACCUUCAAACCCGUAUUAUCAAUGUCGUCUGAGUACUAUACAAUAGUUAAAACUUUCAACAACGGAUCUCUUGGUUCUGGCAUCGAUGAAGAACGCAGCGAAAUGCGAUAAGUAAUGUGAAUUGCAGAAUUCAGUGAAUCAUCGAAUCUUUGAACGCACAUUGCGCCCCCUGGUAUUCCGGGGGGCAUGCCUGUUCGAGCGUCAUUACAACCCUCAAGCUCUGCUUGGUCUUGGGCGUCACCCCCCCGGGUGCGCCUUAAAAUCAGUGGCGGUGCCGUCUGGCUUCAAGCGUAGUAUUACUCCUCGCUUGGGAGCCCGGGCGUGCGUCUUGCCAAAACCCCAUACUUCUUUUAGGUUGACCUCGGAUCAGGUAGGGAUACCCGCUGAACUUAAGCAUAUCAAUAAGCGGAGGAAAAGAAACCAACAGGGAUUGCCUCAGUAACGGCGAGUGAAGCGGCAACAGCUCAAAUUUGAAAUCUGGCCCCCUCGGGGCCCGAGUUGUAAUUUGUAGAGGAUGUUUCGGGUGUGGCUCCGGUCUAAGUUCCUUGGAACAGGACGUCAUAGAGGGUGAGAAUCCCGUAUGUGACUGGCAGCCUACGCCCAUGUGAAGCUCCUUCGACGAGUCGAGUUGUUUGGGAAUGCAGCUCAA
This 748-nucleotide ribosomal RNA is filed under the name Leotiomycetes sp. genotype 120. RNAcentral's name for it is "eukaryotic LSU rRNA". The stretch from base 456 to 748 matches the Rfam family "Eukaryotic large subunit ribosomal RNA", at positions 1 to 290 of the family's 3401-position model. Lineage: Eukaryota; Fungi; Ascomycota; Leotiomycetes. The record is from RNAcentral.